This is a long non-coding RNA of Sorex araneus (European shrew), 652 nucleotides long. RefSeq lists it as uncharacterized. Lineage: Eukaryota; Metazoa; Chordata; Mammalia; Eulipotyphla; Soricidae. The record is from RefSeq and is a predicted model, not a curated record. The transcript has 3 exons.
AGGGUGGAAAGUAGUGAUGUAAAAGUGGAAUCAGGUUAAGGAGGGUCAAUGGGGAUUUCAGAUCAAGGGGACCAGGACUGAAAUGCUCAGAGAACUUCAGCUCUUCUCACUGAGUGACCCCAGAAGGGUUAUUUGGCGAUGGUUUCGAUGGUCCAAGGCUUUUGAAAAGCUACCCAGAUGAGUGUCUGAUGCUCUUUCUUGUAUCCUCCACUGCCUGACCAUGCUGGCAAACGCAGGGGCCCACCCUGCCAUGACUGAGAGGCUCCUCUGUGAUACUUAUCACCCUCCCAUCUCCUCCGCACCUACCCUGACCACCUCAGGUCAUGGAACCAGCAACACCAGUGGGUAAGAGCCAGAGGGAGCGUCAACUCUAUUAACCUGCUGCCCUCCUGAUGGACAGGUCCAGGUGCUGCUCCUAUAUGUCCUCCUGCUCCCUGACGUUUUAUUUGGGGGGGAAUUGCUCCAGAGCCUACCGCUGGAGGUGCCAGGGAUCAAACUCGGCGUCUCAUGUGCGCAAGGUAUGCCCCUGUGCCCUGCGCCAGCUCCCUGGCCUGCUCAGAGAUUCCUUUACUGCGGCUGCUGUCAGCCCUUUGGGAAAGGGACCCUGAAGGCUAGUGGGCCUGGCUCUCAUAUCACAGGAAAUAGCAGCCAG